GAUGAGCGCUGGCGGCGUGCCUAAUACAUGCAAGUCGAGCGAACGGACGAGAAGCUUGCUUUUCUGAUGUUAGCGGCGGACGGGUGAGUAACACGUGGAUAACCUACCUAUAAGACUGGGAUAACUUCGGGAAACCGGAGCUAAUACCGGAUAAUAUUUUGAACCGCAUGGUUCAAUAGUGAAAGACGGUCUUGCUGUCACUUAUAGAUGGAUCCGCGCUGCAUUAGCUAGUUGGUAAGGUAACGGCUUACCAAGGCAACGAUGCAUAGCCGACCUGAGAGGGUGAUCGGCCACACUGGAACUGAGACACGGUCCAGACUCCUACGGGAGGCAGCAGUAGGGAAUCUUCCGCAAUGGGCGAAAGCCUGACGGAGCAACGCCGCGUGAGUGAUGAAGGUCUUCGGAUCGUAAAACUCUGUUAUUAGGGAAGAACAUAUGUGUAAGUAACUGUGCACAUCUUGACGGUACCUAAUCAGAAAGCCACGGCUAACUACGUG
RNAcentral lists this ribosomal RNA (497 nucleotides) under uncultured bacterium. RNAcentral describes it as "partial 16S ribosomal RNA". It matches the Rfam family "Bacterial small subunit ribosomal RNA", at positions 28 to 507 of the family's 1533-position model. The record is from RNAcentral.